Molecule: ribosomal RNA, 254 nt
Filed under: uncultured bacterium
Lineage: Bacteria
Description: partial 16S ribosomal RNA
Rfam family: Bacterial small subunit ribosomal RNA
Source: RNAcentral
UACAGAGGGUGCAAGCGUUAAUCGGAAUUACUGGGCGUAAAGAGUUGCGUAGGUGGUUUGUUAAGUGAAUAGUGAAAUCGUGCGGCUCAACCGUAUACACAUUAUUUAAACUGGCAGACUUGAGUAUGGUAGAGGUCACUGGAAUUACUAGUGUAGGAGUGAAAUCCGUAGAUAUUAGUAGGAACACCGAUGGCGUAGGCAGGUGACUGGACCAUAACUGACACUGAGGCACGAAAGCGUGGGGAGCAAACGGG